ACGAACGCUGGCGGCGUGCUUAACACAUGCCAGUCGAACGGAAAGGCCCUGCUUUUGUGGGGUGCUCGAGUGGCGAACGGGUGAGUAACACGUGAGUAACCUGCCCUUGACUUUGGGAUAACUUCAGGAAACUGGGGCUAAUACCGGAUAGGAGCUCCUGCUGCAUGGUGGGGGUUGGAAAGUUUCGGCGGUUGGGGAUGGACUCGCGGCUUAUCAGCUUGUUGGUGGGGUAGUGGCUUACCAAGGCUUUGACGGGUAGCCGGCCUGAGAGGGUGACCGGCCACAUUGGGACUGAGAUACGGCCCAGACUCCUACGGGAGGCAGCAGUGGGGAAUAUUGCACAAUGGGCGGAAGCCUGAUGCAGCAACGCCGCGUGCGGGAUAACGGCCUUCGGGUUGUAAACCGCUUUCGCCUGUGACGAAGCGUGAGUGACGGUAAUGGGUAAAGAAGCACCGGCUAACUACGUG
This 467-nucleotide ribosomal RNA is filed under the name uncultured bacterium. Its description in RNAcentral is "partial 16S ribosomal RNA". It matches the Rfam family "Bacterial small subunit ribosomal RNA", at positions 29 to 507 of the family's 1533-position model. The record is from RNAcentral.